CCUACGGGAGGCAGCAGUAGGGAAUCUUCCGCAAUGGACGAAAGUCUGACGGAGCAACGCCGCGUGAGUGAUGAAGGCUUUCGGGUCGUAAAACUCUGUUGUUAGGGAAGAACAAGUGCUAGUUGAAUAGGCUGGCACCUUGACGGUACCUAACCAGAAAGCCACGGCUAACUACGUGCCAGCAGCCGCGGUAAU
RNAcentral lists this ribosomal RNA (195 nucleotides) under uncultured Bacillus sp. RNAcentral describes it as "partial 16S ribosomal RNA". It matches the Rfam family "Bacterial small subunit ribosomal RNA", at positions 338 to 524 of the family's 1533-position model. Lineage: Bacteria; Bacillati; Bacillota; Bacilli; Caryophanales; Bacillaceae. The record is from RNAcentral.